UACGUAGGGGGCAAGCGUUGUCCGGAAUUAUUGGGCGUAAAGCGCGUGUAGGCGGCUUUGCAAGUCGGGUGUGAAAGCCCUCGGCUCAACCGAGGAAGUGCGCCCGAAACUGCAGAGCUUGAGUACCGGAGAGGGUGGCGGAAUUCCCCAAGUAGAGGUGAAAUUCGUAGAUAUGGGGAGGAACACCAGUGGCGAAGGCGGCCACCUGGACGGUUACUGACGCUGAGACGCGAAAGCGUGGGGAGCAAACAGG
RNAcentral lists this ribosomal RNA (253 nucleotides) under uncultured bacterium. Its description in RNAcentral is "partial 16S ribosomal RNA". It matches the Rfam family "Bacterial small subunit ribosomal RNA", at positions 524 to 776 of the family's 1533-position model. The record is from RNAcentral.